Molecule: long non-coding RNA, 912 nt
Organism: Zingiber officinale
Lineage: Eukaryota; Viridiplantae; Streptophyta; Magnoliopsida; Zingiberales; Zingiberaceae
Exons: 2
Source: RefSeq, a predicted model, not a curated record
UUUAUCCUUUAUUUGGGUUGGAGUUGACAUUUAACAACACUGACCUAAUUGCUUCUUCUUGGAUACAUAGUCCAAGAUUGGAGCUUGGAUGGCAAUCAACGCCAGCACGCUUUGAUACUGUAUGGGAGGAGCAACCCAACCUAUAAUGGAAGCCAGCGUUGUUGGGACUCUUUCUCUCCCAAAAAAGAUCAAAUUUGUAUGGGUUCAGAUACUAUAAUAUAAUCCUUAACAGAAGCACCAGAGAAACCCAUCAAAUGCUCUAAUGGAGGUCUCUAUGCAAUUCACAGUUUAUAGUUAUUCAGGUUGAUACAAAAGAAAAAGAAGUUGUAAAGUUGUUAGCAGGCUUGGAUAAGAUGAUCAGUUCAGCUAAUUCCUUUGCAAAGCUGAUAUAUAUAUGCACAAGCAAAUCCAUGUUUAAUUGGUUGGAGCUAAGAGGAGAUUGGAGAUGAGUCAAAGAUUUUAUUUGAAUCUGGAUAGAAUUAAAGGCUACGCCGUCAUCAAGCUCCGCCCAUCUUCUUCAUCCGUCGCUGGCAUUCGUCAUUACCUAGAUCUGAGAUGGAGCGAUCUUCAGAACUAGGAGGGUAUGGCUUCCCCCUGGACAUAAGAAGAAUAAAGGAAAGAAAGAAUCUUUUGCAAAGAAUUCUCAGUCAACUCCAAGCUUCACACAUGAACAAUAUCCAAAACUCUUGGCUCUCUUAAAAAGGGUGAAACUCAACCAAAGGUAAAUGUUGCAAGUUCAAUUAUCCCUUUUCAUCCUCAUGCUAUAUUAAUUCAAAAACUCCUGGGAAUUGGAUUAUUGAUAGUGCUACCACAGAUCAUAUGGUUUCAUCAUCCAAGUUAUUACUAGACACAAAAAUAUCCUCAUAUUCAUCCGUUGGAUUACCUAAUGGAAAUAAAGCACAAAUUACUUCA